GGAUGGUGGCUCAGUGGUAGAGCACUCGCCUGGCAUGUGUGAGGCCCUGGGUUCGAUCCUCAGCACCA
This 68-nucleotide transfer RNA is filed under the name Marmota monax (woodchuck). Its description in RNAcentral is "tRNA.Ala". It matches the Rfam family "tRNA". From Rfam's summary of the family: Transfer RNA (tRNA) molecules are approximately 80 nucleotides in length. Their secondary structure includes four short double-helical elements and three loops (D, anti-codon, and T loops). Lineage: Eukaryota; Metazoa; Chordata; Mammalia; Rodentia; Sciuridae. The record is from RNAcentral.